This 273-nucleotide ribosomal RNA is filed under the name uncultured bacterium. RNAcentral describes it as "partial 16S ribosomal RNA". It matches the Rfam family "Bacterial small subunit ribosomal RNA", at positions 524 to 796 of the family's 1533-position model. The record is from RNAcentral.
UACGGAGGGUGCAAGCGUUGUUCGGAAUUAUUGGGCGUAAAGCGCGUGUAGGCGGUCUGUUAAGUCUGAUGUGAAAGCCCCGGGCUCAACCCGGGAAGUGCAUUGGAAACUGGCAGACUUGAGUACGGGAGAGGGUAGUGGAAUUCCGAGUGUAGGGGUGAAAUCCGUAGAUAUUCGGAGGAACACCGGUGGCGAAGGCGGCUACCUGGACCGAUACUGACGCUGAGACGCGAAAGCGUGGGGAGCAAACAGGAUUAGAAACCCCCGUAGUCC